CUUUAUCUCAUCUCUGUCUAUCAUUCUAGAAAAGUUAUCAUGUGAGCACACUCAAAGAUCUGUCACCAGAUAAAUACAGGGCUUGUAUGCAACCUUUGCAGAACUGGAGGAGAAUGGAGAUCCAAAGUUAGAAGGAAAAAGGAUGAAGAACACACAGAAACCUCGACGUGAGGGAGCUGAGGUCACCCUGCUAGAACAGUAUUUCAAGCAGAGCUCUGGAAACAGCUGCCAAAUACUCAAGGCCAGAGACUUCUCAUCCCGGGGCCGGUUCAUCACCUGUGUUAUCUGGGGCUCUAAAGCCUGUUCUAUCCCCAGUUUAUGGAAAGAGAAAAGGUAUUUCAUUUGUUCCUCGCUGAGCUCCUCCAGCCACGCAGGCCAGGUUGCCCAAGAGCAGAGGCAGCGCACAGACCUGCUCCAGAAGCAGCAUGUGGAUGAACUUGUGUGGCAGUAGAGCUCGGCACGAGUCUGUCUGUCAGCCUAAAUGAGCAAGAAAACUGCGCGGUGCCUUGGAGGCCAGCCCGACCCCCCUCCCGGUGAGCCGCGGGCAGAGGAGAGCGGCCGGGCUGUUCGUACCUGGUGCUGCGGGACUCCGCCGUGCCCGGCAGCAGCUCUGCCCGGGGUCCUGCAGCCUGGGCACUGCC
RNAcentral lists this long non-coding RNA (641 nucleotides) under Manacus vitellinus (golden-collared manakin). Its description in RNAcentral is "lncRNA (ENSMVIG00005005771.1)". Lineage: Eukaryota; Metazoa; Chordata; Aves; Passeriformes; Pipridae. The record is from RNAcentral.